This 301-nucleotide ribosomal RNA is filed under the name uncultured bacterium. RNAcentral's name for it is "partial 16S ribosomal RNA". It matches the Rfam family "Bacterial small subunit ribosomal RNA", at positions 509 to 807 of the family's 1533-position model. The record is from RNAcentral.
CAGUCGCCGCGGGAAUACGUAGGGUGCAAGCGUUAAUCGGAAUUACUGGGCGUAAAGGGAGCGUAGGCGGAUCGUUAAGUUGGGGGUGAAAGCCCGGGGCUCAACCUCGGAAUUGCCUUCAAUACUGGCGAUCUUGAGUAUGGAAGAGGUAUGUGGAACUCCGAGUGUAGAGGUGAAAUUCGUAGAUAUUCGGAAGAACACCAGUGGCGAAGGCGACAUACUGGUCCAUUACUGACGCUGAGGCUCGAAAGCGUGGGGAGCAAACAGGAUUAGAUACCCCAGUAGUCCCUGUCUCUUAUAC